GAUGAACGCUAGCUACAGGCUUAACACAUGCAAGUCGAGGGGAAACGCCAUCGAAAGCUUGCUUUUGAUGGGCGUCGACCGGCGCACGGGUGAGUAACGCGUAUCCAACCUGCCCAUCACUUGGGAAUAACCUUGCGAAAGUAAGACUAAUACCCAAUGAUAUCCCACGAAGGCAUAGGAUUGGGAGUAUAGAUUUAUCGGUGAUGGAUGGGGAUGCGUCUGAUUAGCUUGUUGGCGGGGUAACGGCCCACCAAGGCAACGAUCAGUAGGGGUUCUGAGAGGGAGGUCCCCCACAGUGGAACUGAGACACUGUCCAAACGCCUACGGGAGGCAGCAGUGAGGAAGAAUGGGCAAUGGGCGAUAGCCUGAGCCAGCCAAGUAGCGUGCAGGAAGACGGCUGUAUGAGAUGUAAACUGCUUUUAUAAGGGGAUAUAGGGAGGCACGUGUGACUUUUUGCAUGUACCUGAUGAAGAAGGACCGGCUAAUUCCGUG
RNAcentral lists this ribosomal RNA (492 nucleotides) under uncultured bacterium. RNAcentral describes it as "partial 16S ribosomal RNA". It matches the Rfam family "Bacterial small subunit ribosomal RNA", at positions 28 to 507 of the family's 1533-position model. The record is from RNAcentral.